Molecule: ribosomal RNA, 673 nt
Filed under: uncultured bacterium
Lineage: Bacteria
Description: bacterial SSU rRNA
Rfam family: Bacterial small subunit ribosomal RNA
Source: RNAcentral
AAUACCGCAUAAGCGCACAGGGCCGCAUGGCCCGGUGUGAAAAACUCCGGUGGUGUAAGAUGGACCCGCGUCUGAUUAGCUUGUUGGCGGGGUAGGGGCCCACCAAGGCGACGAUCAGUAGCCGGCCUGAGAGGGUGGACGGCCACAUUGGGACUGAGACACGGCCCAAACUCCUACGGGAGGCAGCAGUGGGGGAUAUUGGACAAUGGGGGAAACCCUGAUCCAGCGACGCCGCGUGAGUGAAGAAGUAUUUCGGUAUGUAAAGCUCUGUCAGCAGGGAAGAAAGAAAUGACGGUACCUGACCAAGAAGCCCCGGCUAACUACGUGCCAGCAGCCGCGGUAAUACGUAGGGGGCAAGCGUUAUCCGGAAUUACUGGGUGUAAAGGGAGCGUAGACGGUGAUGCAAGUCUGGAGUGAAAGGCGGGGGCCCAACCCCCGGACUGCUCUGGAAACUGUGUAACUUGAGUGCAGGAGAGGUGAGCGGAAUUCCUAGUGUAGCGGUGAAAUGCGUAGAUAUUAGGAGGAACACCAGUGGCGAAGGCGGCUUACUGGACUGUAACUGACGUUGAGGCUCGAAAGCGUGGGGAGCAAACAGGAUUAGAUACCCUGGUAGUCCACGCCGUAAACGAUGAUUACUAGGUGUCGGUGGGUAUGGACCCACCGGUGCCGCAGC